GUCAGGAGAUCGAGACCAUCCUGGCCAACACGGUGAAACCCUGUCUCUACUAAAAAUACGAACAAACAAAAACAUCUCUGGACCAAUCUGGUCUUAAUUUCUUCUAUCCAGGCCUUUUGGUUCUCCCUGGCUGGCCAUGGGCUUCACUUCUCUGAUGGCUCAAUUCAUUCUUUCCUAAGAUCUUCAAGUUUAUAGUGAAAUUUUCUCUCAAGUGAGCUUUUUUCCUGCUUAUUCCAAGGCUGAUUUAAUUAUAACCAUUCUUUAAGUAAAAAAGGACUUAUUUAUUCAAAAAUUCUGAGUACCUUUUUCAUGCUAGGCAGCACUGAGAAUGUCAUGGUGAGUAAAAUGAAUAAAGGCUGUGCCCUUAUAGAGCUUACAUUCUUGUGGGGAAUCAGCAGACUUAAAAUGUUUUAAACUGUCAGAUACUAGUAAAUUCAACAAAGGGGAAAAAAAGCAAGGCAAGUGAAGGUCUGUAUUAUAGAGAAUAAUGGGAGAGAUGGAGAAAAAGGGUUGCAGUAUUUCCAAAGCCUUGAGAAAGGAAAACAGGACCUAUAUGCACUUAUCAACUUAAAAGACUUGAUUCAAUAGUAAGAACUUUUUGGUUUGUUUUUUGUUUUUUGGUUUUUUUUUUUUUUUUUUUUUGGUCAUUUGCUGUAUUUUAAAACCUCGUUCAAACUAGGUGGACAGGAAGUAACUCAUGGGUGAUUAUGGCUUCAAAAGUCUGCUUUUUGUCAUAUUGAUUGAGCAGUGAACAGUUCCUAGUUAAGUACCAUAAGAUGGUGCUGUUAAGGUUUGUUGUUUUUUUUCUGUUUCAAAGCUCUUAAGGCUUUUGGGGGGAAUAAUACACGUAUCUUUACCAAAUAAAGUGAAAUAUAUUUAAAAUAAUUAUAUUUUAGAAUAUCAAUAAUACAAACUUUUAAAUCAAUGUGUAAAAUGUUUUGCUGGUAAAAGCACAAUGAUUAUGGGAAGAAACAAACUCAUUGUACUAGGUUUAAAAUGUUUUGGGAACAUGAAACCAAAAUGUCACAGUCUGAGGGAAAGCGUGCCAAGCAUUAUUAACAUAAAAGAGGUUAAAUAGGUGAGAGAUUAAGUUUACAGAUUAAAUUGGAAAUAAAUGAAUCUUUGUUUUUGUCACAGGAAAGAUCCCCCCAGGGAGAGGAUACUAAAAUGUAGCUAGAAGUGCAAAAUGUUUUAGUAGAGCUUAACUCCAGCGAAAGGAGAAGGAAGGGUGCAGAAUUAGGGGAAACUGUCAGACAGUGAUGCAGAGUUGACAAAGUUGCUGUCAGCCUAGUGGGAGCUUCGGAGCAGAGACUCCCUGAUAGAGUGGUAUGUUAGGCAGAAAUGGCUAGACCACUGUCCCACUGCAUUGUCAGGUAAUUGGCUGGGGAUCACCUCACCUGGCCAGAAAGUUGAGGUAAACUCUGACAAAGCCAAUAACGAGGCUAUCAGCUAGCCACAGCUGGGUAGCAAGUCUUGCAGCUGGUAGCACGUCCUUUCUUGAGGGGAGAUCUGAGCAUCACAUCUCUGCCAAAAUUUAUAAAGAAAACAUCCUAUUUAUAGAAUUAAAAUGAAGAAGUCCUAUAUAAUUUGCUUAGAAUGAUUAUACUGUGAUUACUUGAACUGCAAAGUUAGAAGUAACUUAGGUGCUCAGUAAAUGGUACAUUUCUGAAGGGUAAAGUUGGAAGAAAAAGAUUAUUAUUUUUGCUUGAAUUUUGCUCUGAAUAGCAGAGCAGUUGUUCUCAUUAUGUGCUAUUUGCUGGUGCAGAAGAUCAGUCUUUGAACAUAGUAAUAAGAAAUAUACAUUUAUUUAUUCAAAGGAAGGCAUGUGCCAGAUGCUGGAUUACAUCAGAAUGAGCAAGAAAAAUACAGCAUCUGUCCAGGUGGAACUUACAGUCUGGUGAAUACACACAAAUAGGUAAAUUCUCUUUGCUGUAGGAGCAACACCUAAACCCAGAUUUGAGCUACUGGAAAAGUUGAAAAUUAACAUGCAGCUUGCUUAUUUCUGUUGGACAACACUACUGUAGACCAGCGGGUCUCAAACAGAGCAGAGAGUUUAUGAACACACAGAUUGCUGGGCCCUAAAAAUUUAGUUCCUAGUUCCCAGGUGGUACUGGAUGCUGCUGAUCCAAUGACCACAUUUUAAGAACCACUGCUUUAGACCAGGCCCUAAGUAGGGCCAGAUAGUAAGUGUUUUAGGCUUGGGGUAGAGGUGAGGGUGGGGAAGUCGCUUAACCCAGAAUUCUAUAACCAAUGAAAAUUUUCUUUAAGACUGAAGAUGAAAUACAAUUUUCAAAUGAAAGAAAACAAAAAAUUCGUUGUCCAAAGACCUGCACUAAAAGAAGCUUUUCAGAUUGAAAGGAAAUAAUGCAAAUGGAGAUUUAGAUCCUUAUAAAACAAUGGAGGGUGUCAGAAAUGGUAGAUAUAUGGGUCAAUGCAAAAGGCUUUUUAAUUUUUUUCCUGAUUUCUUUUUAAUACAUACAACUUUAUAGUAAGAAUAACAACUGUAUCUUGUUGGGUUUAUAAUGUACAUAGAUGUAAUACAUAUAAACAUGAUAGCAUAAUGAUUAGAAAUGGGAUUUGGGCCUACAGUUGCAAGGUUGUAUUAUAGUACAUAAUAUAUGUUAUUAUUAUAUAUAAAUAUAUAUAUAUAUUUGAGACAGAGUCU
RNAcentral lists this long non-coding RNA (2665 nucleotides) under Homo sapiens (human). RNAcentral's name for it is "HSALNT0321370". Lineage: Eukaryota; Metazoa; Chordata; Mammalia; Primates; Hominidae. The record is from RNAcentral.